UACGUAGGGUGCGAGCGUUAAUCGGAAUUACUGGGCGUAAAGCGUGCGCAGGCGGCUUUGUAAGUCAGAUGUGAAAUCCCCGGGCUCAACCUGGGAACUGCAUUUGUGACUGCAAGGCUGGAGUACGGCAGAGGGGGAUGGAAUUCCGCGUGUAGCAGUGAAAUGCGUAGAUAUGCGGAGGAACACCGAUGGCGAAGGCAAUCCCCUGGGCCUGUACUGACGCUCAUGCACGAAAGCGUGGGGAGCAAACAGG
RNAcentral lists this ribosomal RNA (253 nucleotides) under uncultured bacterium. RNAcentral's name for it is "partial 16S ribosomal RNA". It matches the Rfam family "Bacterial small subunit ribosomal RNA", at positions 524 to 776 of the family's 1533-position model. The record is from RNAcentral.